UACGAAGGUGGCGAGCGUUACUCGGAAUUACUAGGCGUAAAGGGCAGGUAGGUGGUUUGGUAAGUCUGCUGUGGAAGCUCCCGGCUCAACUGGGAGAGGUCAGCGGAAACUGCCAGGCUAGAGUGUAGGAGAGGGUACUGGAAUUCCCGGUGUAGCGGUGAAAUGCGCAGAGAUCGGGAGGAACACCGAUGGCGAAAGCAGGUACCUGGACUACUACUGACACUAAGCUGCGAAAGCUAGGGGAGCAAACAGG
Molecule: ribosomal RNA, 253 nt
Filed under: uncultured bacterium
Lineage: Bacteria
Description: partial 16S ribosomal RNA
Rfam family: Bacterial small subunit ribosomal RNA
Source: RNAcentral